UUGCUUUGGCAGCACAUAUACUAAAAUUGGAAUGAUACAGAGAAGAUUAGCAUGGCCCCUGGGAUGACAUGCAAAUUCGUGAAGCGUUCCAUAUUUUU
This is a small nuclear RNA of Monodelphis domestica (gray short-tailed opossum), 98 nucleotides long. The record is from Ensembl. Lineage: Eukaryota; Metazoa; Chordata; Mammalia; Didelphimorphia; Didelphidae.